AGGCUUUUAGAUGAAUGGCAUCGUUGCGUUUUCGGCACGUAAUAAUAUGGGGGUUCCGACCCAUAAAGGCUUU
RNAcentral lists this transfer RNA (73 nucleotides) under Limnoperna fortunei. RNAcentral's name for it is "tRNA-Arg". Lineage: Eukaryota; Metazoa; Mollusca; Bivalvia; Mytilida; Modiolidae. The record is from RNAcentral.